RNAcentral lists this ribosomal RNA (559 nucleotides) under uncultured bacterium. RNAcentral's name for it is "bacterial SSU rRNA". It matches the Rfam family "Bacterial small subunit ribosomal RNA", at positions 102 to 674 of the family's 1533-position model. The record is from RNAcentral.
ACGGGUGAGUAACGCGUGGGCAACCUGCCUUAUACAGGGGGAUAACACAGGGAAACUUGUGCUAAUACCGCAUAAGACUAUUGGGUGGCAUCAUCUGGUGGUCAAAGGAGUCAAAUCCGGUAUAAGAUGGGCCCGCGUCCGAUUAGCUAGUUGGGGGUGUAACGGACCACCAAGGCGACGAUCGGUAGCCGGACUGAGAGGUUGGACGGCCACAUUGGGACUGAGACACGGCCCAGACUCCUACGGGAGGCAGCAGUGGGGAAUAUUGCGCAAUGGGGGGAACCCUGACGCAGCAACGCCGCGUGAAGGAUGAAGGUUUUCGGAUUGUAAACUUCUUUAGUCGGGGACGAAGGAUGACGGUACCCGAAGAAUAAGCCACGGCUAACUACGUGCCAGCAGCCGCGGUAAUACGUAGGUGGCAAGCGUUGUCCGGAAUUACUGGGUGUAAAGGGCGUGUAGGCGGGAAUGUAAGUCAGAUGUGAAAUUCCAGGGCUCAACCCUGGCGCUGCACCUGAAACUAUAUUUCUUGAGUGCUGGAGAGGAAAGCGGAAUUCCUAGU